CGGCCAUUAGUCAAGGUCCGCGGCCCAGGACUUGCGAAGGAAGCAGGCAGGGUGGAGGGGCACGUUCCCGGAGUCGCGGGAGAAUGAUGGCCCUCAGACCGCAACGCGGAGGAUUGGGGAUUGGAAGCCGCGGCAGAUAUUUGGGGGUCCAUAUUUCCUCAUCUCCCUAGUGUCUAAAGUUUAAAGAAAGCCAGGCGCAGGAGGGAAGACUGAAGAGGCAGGGGUCCGGAGUCUAGAGACCGGGAGGCAGCGGUUUCAAAGUGGCAUCCAGUGGACGGUCGGGAUUCGGCGAGUCCCCCGCGGAAUCGGCCAGAGAGAAGAGAGAGAGCAGAGGCAGCGGAGCUGCGAGGCCGGCGGGCUGAGCGAAGACGGCGUUUGGACCUGGUUCCACUCUCUCCGAAAAGGAGCUUGGAUUUCUGCCUCUGCUCGCAGAGACUCGCGGCACCCCGAGGCCCCUGGCUCGGAUUUCCUGUGCUUAGAUAUUAUUCAGGAAAAUAUAUUUUAUCCCAAGAAUAUUUUUUAAAGUUCUCACUGUAACGCUAAAUAUAUGCUUAGAGAAAAACUCAGCUCUCCCUCCUCGGCUCUCUUGUCCGAAGCACAGAUCCAAGUCAGCUCUAAAAAG
This is a long non-coding RNA of Pteropus alecto (black flying fox), 622 nucleotides long. RefSeq lists it as uncharacterized. The transcript has 3 exons. The record is from RefSeq and is a predicted model, not a curated record. Lineage: Eukaryota; Metazoa; Chordata; Mammalia; Chiroptera; Pteropodidae.